Molecule: long non-coding RNA, 2753 nt
Organism: Panicum virgatum (switchgrass)
Lineage: Eukaryota; Viridiplantae; Streptophyta; Magnoliopsida; Poales; Poaceae
Exons: 2
Source: RefSeq, a predicted model, not a curated record
UUGCAGCUGGAAAGCAGAGUGGGAAAGAGAUUAAGAAAGAAAGCUUCCACGGUUUCCUUUCCUGAUUCUCUCCGAUCCUGCGUUACUGAGAAGGAAGCUACUCUGUCAAAAGGCGAAAGCAAAGCAGAACCUCAUCAUCAACAAAUAAUAGCAUACCCACUAGAAGAUUACACAAGGUCUUGUCACAGCAAUUUCUUAUUAUUUUCACUGCUGUACCUCUCACUCUCGCCGCAUGUUAUCACAUGUGGUCCUGUACUCCUGUUUACUGGUGAGUCAAGAAGAUAGUCAAGGUAACCGUGUAACACAUGUGGCUUUGAACUUUCAUUACAGUGAAUAGCGUGUCCCAAGUGUGCUUAUAUUUCAAGGCCGGCAGGGCCAGUAGGCCGUCAUUCCUAUGAGCGUUUACAGCCUCACCACCUACACACACACACCAUGCUUCUCCUCGCCUUCAAGAUGUCGCUACUUCUGCUUCUAGCUGAUCAAGCUGAUCAAUAAAGUGAACACCCCCGAGCACUAACUAGAUUCUUUCAAGGUGUCCUGACAGCAUCCUCUUUAUUUCCACGUCCUGGCCCCACCCUGUUUGCAGCGUCACUGCUGCGUGAUGCCUGACCCAGUUUACGCGGUGGCCCAUUUCGCAUUGUAGCUUGUCCUCGAUCCUCAAGGCUCCAGGGACGAAGGAACGAGCCCAGCAGCCUCCUUGCAGCUGGAAAGCAGAGUGGGAAAGAGAUUAAGAAAGAAAGCUUCCACGGUUUCCUUUCCUGAUUCUCUCCGAUCCUGCGUUACUGAGAAGGAAGCUACUCUGUCAAAAGGCGAGAGCAAAGCAGAACCUCAUCAUCAACAAAUAAUAGAAGCAUACCUUGGUACCCACUUAGAAGAUUACACAGGGUCUUGUCACAGCAAUUUCUUAUUUUCACUGCUGUGCCUCUCACUCUCGCCUUUACUGGUGAGUCAAGAAGAUAGUCAAGGUAACCGUGUAACACAUGUGCCUCUGAACUUUCUUUACAGUGAAUAGCGUGUCCCAAGUCAAGGUCAGCAGGGCCAGUAGGCUGUCAUUCCUAGGUCUCUUUUACGACGUACAAUACUAUCACUUGGUAGUAUGUAGUACAGAAAAGAUCUAGCCAUCCAUUAGAAAGAGUAAGAUUGUCAUUGAUAGCCAGACCACAGAAUCGUUAACUGAUUCCAACUUGGAUUUGUGAAGCUUGUGCCUGUGAACACUGAAGAUGAAACGGUCCAUAUGCAUUGCACUGAUUCAGGACAACUCGAAGUCUAAUUCUGAAUGUUUUGUUUUAGAGUUCUAAGGAAGGAUCUCCUGUCCACUGAAUUGGUUCAGGACAAAAUCAUCAGUUUUACAGCGCCGAUUAUAGGACAUCUCUGCAAGAACAAGAGAGAAAACAGACUACUGCUCUGCUUUGUGACUGAGGGCCCUUGGUUUCAGACUUUCAAUUGUCAUCAUGCACGAGCUCACUUGUGCAGCAUCGUAUUCCUGAUCUCGGCGACUCCCUGCCUAAAACCUACCACCUUAGGGUAUCUGUCAGACCUGGGUCCACGGGAUAGCUUACGGGGCACAGAUCUGUACGAACUAAGGGAUGGGGCAUGUCCUAUACCCUGACGUUAUGUAAUGUACUCGAAUACUAGUAGUACUAGUCGAACAGAAGAAAACUACUCAAGUAGUACUCGAGUAAGACUCCUAAACUAGUAUCCGAUUAGGACAUCAUGUAACCCUACCUCCCCAGACUAUAUAAGGGUGGGCAGGGACCCCCUCAAACACAAUCAAUCACAUCCAAGGCAAUACAAACCACAAACAGGAUGUAGCGUAUUAUGCAACACCGCGGCCCGAACUUGUCUAAAACCUUUGUGUUGCGACCUUCGAGUUCCUGAUCUCUGUGACAUCCUAACCAAUAAGUCUACUACCAUAGGAAAUACCAAGGUAGGCUUGCCAAUAAAACACCGACAGCUGGCGCGUCAGGUAGGGGUGUUCGUCGAAGAUCCCCUGGCGAACUCGAUGGCGAUCAUCAACUCCGCUCCCGUCCUUGAGAAAGGCACAACCUUCGCCUUUGGUUCAUGGGUGUGCAUGGCCAACGGUGUGGGUGGCUUCAACAGCCACCGUGUCGACACCACGAGCUUGGAGACCUCGGCAUCAUCAACUUGCGAGGUUGAGAUUGACGAUCUCCUCAACAAUCCCGGCGAGACGCUACUUCCCGAUCUGGUCAAACAACUCGAGUCGGAAUUCGAUUCCAACUCGACUUCUACCCAAACUGCGCCAAUACCCAAACUGCACCAACUCCCACCAGAUCGGACUUAAGUCAACCUCAAAUCCGAUCCUGCUUCGGGUUACGCAAUGAUGCCAUUGUUUAUCAAGAGGCCUUGCAUGCGCAAUUUUUUCUCGACCUGGAAAAGGAUCUGGACGAUCUACUUCGACUCGGAGUAGAUCAAAAGGAAGCAGAGGCCACCACAUGCCGGGAGGCCCCUGUCUAUGACAACUACUCCGACUGAUGACGACGCCGAGCCCUUAUCAGGCAAUCACCAGGGCCUUGUAGUCUCCUCCACACCACAAUGCCGCUUCGUGUACUGGAAGGGCAUGAAACCCUCUGAGCUAUACGACGCCGACAAUAGGCUUGUGGCUUGUCUUCCAGAACUCCCGUUCCAGGAGGGACGGCCACUUUCGCCCAUCCAAGAGGAAUAGCUUCUCAACAUGGGCCGUGUUUGGUAAAUUUCGCGCACGUUUUUCGAGAAGAGAAUCUCGCAUGCAUGAA